RNAcentral lists this long non-coding RNA (1412 nucleotides) under Felis catus (domestic cat). RNAcentral describes it as "lncRNA (ENSFCAG00000051215.1)". The record is from RNAcentral. Lineage: Eukaryota; Metazoa; Chordata; Mammalia; Carnivora; Felidae.
GCAAAAUUUCAAUAAAACAUUUAAUGUCAAACUUUUUAGAGUAACACCAGUGUUUUAUAACUUUUCAUUGCAUUUUGCCACUGAAGUUCUUGAAGCUUUAUUCAGAUUUUUGUAAAGUAACCUAAAAUCCUUUAUGUUAGAUUAACACAUUUAUAAUCAUUCUGUUGUUUAACAAGUGAAGCAAGGCUAUAAAACUUGCUCCAAAAGGCAGAAGAUUGUCAGAAGACAGUAAUGUGACAUUUAACAACCAUAUUUUCUAGUCAUCAACUUCUUAUUUGAUAGAGUCCAUAGCACAGUUUUAAAUUUCCCAUCAGUUCAAAUACCACUUAAAAGUUGGAGGGGGAAAAGAAAUACCUGCUGUUGCAAAGAAGUUUAUUCUUUUUUCCUUGUGAAUAAUUCUCUGAAAGAUAUCAGGUGAUAGUUGCACCAUUUCACGUUAAAGUUGGCUAAUAUGAAUUAACUGGUUGUCUAACCAGUUAACUUGAGAUCCAGUAUACUUUCUUUUGUAUUUUUUUCCUGAAAAACACCUUGGUUUUCUGUUAACUGAAGUUAAAUACGGUGAACAUGCAUGUUGGUUACAUGGAUAGGUCCUCCUGCUAAAAAAGUAAAAUUACCAGUUUUAUUAUAAACAUUCAAGUACUAGUUUAAAUACUAUAUUUCUCUGACAGUGGGACUCAAAUAUAUACCUUUAAAACCAUAUAAUUUCAGUUAUCUCAUGUUUAAUAGUUUGAAAGAGACCAGAAAAUUCAGUAGUAUAUCUCUGCUUAUUAGUAAUUUGUAACCCUGGUACCCUAGGAUUGUUCUGCCUAUCCUAAAAGGAAGAAAGGGGUUGAAGAUCAUACAGACAGACUCUAAAAAGGCAGAGAUCCUCCAAAACUGCAAUGUAAAUGAUAUGAUAAUGGGGGACGGAUCAUUUGAGGAUACACCUGACCUUAGUCACCUGUUUGCCCCAGAGAUUUCCCAACCUCACCAGUUUGCCUCACUCUCCUUUGGUAAGUAAUAGGUAUAUUUCGGUUCCAUCACUGCUCAUUACUAUUUAACUGCCUACUCUAACACUAUGAGAAUACCUUUUUACAUACCUAGGGCUUUUAGUUCAAGUCCCUGAUACUAAUAAUGAAUGGCAUUGGUUAAAUUACACUUUCCAAAAACAACUCCUAACUAUAACUCCUAACUAUAUGUUAACUUUGUCCAUAGUAAAAUUAUAAAUCUCCCUUUAUCAAAAGACAGAGUAAAAAUAAGGCAUAGAUAACCAACAUAUAUAACCAAUACACAUAAUCAGAAAGGACUAGUGUUCUAGAUCAUUCAGUAUAGAUCAAUGGAUUGAUAGAUGGACAAAAUUUUAAUAAGAAAAAAGAUGUAUUAAUCAAACUGAAAAUGAAUAAAAAACUUGUAUCAUCUUGAAAGGAAAUCUU